RNAcentral lists this ribosomal RNA (483 nucleotides) under uncultured bacterium. RNAcentral's name for it is "partial 16S ribosomal RNA". It matches the Rfam family "Bacterial small subunit ribosomal RNA", at positions 30 to 507 of the family's 1533-position model. The record is from RNAcentral.
AUUGAACGCUGGCGGCAGGCCUAACACAUGCAAGUCGAGCGGAUGAAGGGAGCUUGCUCCUGGAUUCAGCGGCGGACGGGUGAGUAAUGCCUAGGAAUCUGCCUGGUAGUGGGGAUAACGUCCGGAAACGGGCGCUAAUACCGCAUACGUCCUGAGGGAGAAAGUGGGGGAUCUUCGGACCUCACGCUAUCAGAUGAGCCUAGGUCGGAUUAGCUAGUUGGUGGGGUAAAGGCCUACCGAGGCGACGAUCCGUAACUGGUCUGAGAGGAUGAUCAGUCACACUGGAACUGAGACACGGUCCAGACUCCUACGGGAGGCAGCAGUGGGGAAUAUUGGACAAUGGGCGAAAGCCUGAUCCAGCCAUGCCGCGUGUGUGAAGAAGGUCUUCGGAUUGUAAAGCACUUUAAGUUGGGAGGAAGGGCAGUAAGUUAAUACCUUGCUGUUUUGACGUUACCAACAGAAUAAGCACCGGCUAACUUCGUG